This 253-nucleotide ribosomal RNA is filed under the name uncultured bacterium. RNAcentral's name for it is "partial 16S ribosomal RNA". It matches the Rfam family "Bacterial small subunit ribosomal RNA", at positions 524 to 776 of the family's 1533-position model. The record is from RNAcentral.
UACGUAGGGAACGAGCGUUAUCCGGAUUUAUUGGGUGUAAAGGGUGCGUAGACGGGCGAUCAAGUUAGUUGUGAAAUCCCUCGGCUCAACUGAGGAACUGCAACUAAAACUGGUAGUCUUGAGUGCAGGAGAGGUAAGUGGAAUUCCUAGUGUAGCGGUGAAAUGCGUAGAUAUUAGGAGGAACACCAGUGGCGAAGGCGACUUACUGGACUGUAACUGACGUUGAGGCACGAAAGUGUGGGGAGCAAACAGG